GGCGUAAGCGCGCGUAGGCGGUUUCUUAAGUCUGAUGUGAAAGCCCACGGCUCAACCGUGGAGGGUCAUUGGAAACUGGGAGACUUGAGUGCAGAAGAGGAAAGUGGAAUUCCAUGUGUAGCGGUGAAAUGCGUAGAGAUAUGGAGGAACACCAGUGGCGAAGGCGACUUUCUGGUCUGUAACUGACGCUGAUGUGCGAAAGCGUGGGGAUCAAACAGGAUUAGAUACCCUGGUAGUCCACGCCGUAAACGAUGAGUGCUAAGUGUUAGAGGGUUUCCGCCCCUUAGUGCUGCAGCUAACGCAUUAAGCACUCCGCCUGGGGAGUACGACCGCAAGGUUGAAA
RNAcentral lists this ribosomal RNA (343 nucleotides) under Staphylococcus pseudintermedius. RNAcentral describes it as "bacterial SSU rRNA". It matches the Rfam family "Bacterial small subunit ribosomal RNA", at positions 557 to 899 of the family's 1533-position model. The record is from RNAcentral. Lineage: Bacteria; Bacillati; Bacillota; Bacilli; Caryophanales; Staphylococcaceae.